UACGGAGGGUGCGAGCGUUGUCCGGAAUCACUGGGCGUAAAGGGCGCGUAGGCGGCCUGAUAAGUAGGGGGUGAAAUCCUGCGGCUUAACCGCAGGGCUGCCUUCUAAACUGUCGGGCUCGAGCACAGUAGAGGCAGGUGGAAUUCCCGGUGUAGCGGUGGAAUGCGUAGAGAUCGGGAAGAACAUCAGUGGCGAAGGCGGCCUGCUGGGCUGUUGCUGACGCUGAGGCACGAAAGCUAGGGGAGCAAACAGG
This 253-nucleotide ribosomal RNA is filed under the name uncultured bacterium. Its description in RNAcentral is "partial 16S ribosomal RNA". It matches the Rfam family "Bacterial small subunit ribosomal RNA", at positions 524 to 776 of the family's 1533-position model. The record is from RNAcentral.